This is a non-coding RNA of Solanum lycopersicum (tomato), 3341 nucleotides long. Lineage: Eukaryota; Viridiplantae; Streptophyta; Magnoliopsida; Solanales; Solanaceae. The record is from RefSeq and is a predicted model, not a curated record.
AGCGAUUAAUAAUAACUUUUUUAUAUACAUGAAAAUAUAGAAUAUGAUAAUUCUAUGGUUAUCAUAACUCCUUGUGUAAAAAAAUUUAUGCUAAUAUUUUUUAUUAUCAAUAUUAUUUAUAAAUAAGUUAUGCCUGUUAAAAACUAUACACCGCAACAACAUAAAUAAUAUUUUUAGAGACAAUCUACUUGUCUGAGGUCAAAUUUUCUCCAAUUUAUGUUAAUAUUACUUUGUUAUUCUAAGAAAAAUUUGUACAAGGAGAAAAAUAUAUUUUGAACAACAACAAAAUAAUAUUGUUGCCCUUUAGAAAUUCAUUCUUCAUUAAACUUUAGAAGGCCCUUCCGGAUUCUUCAUCAAUGCAACUUUACGACUUUUUAGGAAUAUUUAUUUAUGAUUGUUACAUUAUGAAAGUACACAUAAAUUAGAAUGUUGUAUUGUAGACUCAUGUUAAAGAAACAUUUUUUAAAAUUAAAAAAUUAAAAAUGAGCUAACCUAGAUAAUUCGAACACUCACCAAUGACUUGGGACAUAAAGGACAAAAAAUCUAUAUUAAUAGACAUAUCUUUUAUAGAUUGAAAUAUUACUUUUAUUUAGAGUAGGUUUUGCUUCAUAUCCUUCAAAUUAAGCUUGACUGAAAUAGUCGUAACUCACAACAAAAAUAUUUAGAAGAGACGAAUGAAAAGGAAAAAUAAGGAAAACAUUAAAAGGACUAAAAUCGUUAUCAUAGUCAGAUUAUGUACAUACAAACCAAAAAGAAUCAAUAUAAUUGUAAGGAGACAACAUAAAAGUGAGAAAAACAUACAUUAAAGGGAGUAAACUAUAGGAUAUUCAAUGAUGAUAACAAAUCAUUCUAACCAGAAAAAAUUUUAUCUUUUGAAAUAACAUACCUCAAAAAACUGAAUAGCAUUUCAAUCAACUUUUAAUCCUUAAAGUAAUCAUAAUGUCGAGUGAUAAAAUUAGGGAUAAUGCACAAGUAUCCCCUCAAUCUAUGCCCGUAUUCUCAGAGACACAGUUAUGCUAUAAUAAGAUCAUAUUACAUCCUUGAACUUAUUUUAUUAAUAAUUUUCUAACCUUUUCGACCUAUGUGACAUUAUCUUGUGGGCCCAACGCUGGUUGACUUUUUCUUUCAAGCUAGUGCCACGUAGGCUGAAAAGGGGUACAAAAUUAUUUAUAUAAUAAGUUUAGGGGGGUAAUAGGACCUUAGUAUAGUAUAAAUGUGUCUCUGGGAUUUCAGGCAUAGGUUGAGGGGGUACUUGUGCAUUUUUCCAUAAAAUUAAGUAUAAAUAGAUAAAAAAAAAAUAUAAAAAUAAUAUGGGCAUGUAUAGUUAUUAACUCUCAGAGGAUUUUCUGAAGGACACAAAAUCACAUCCUUAUAUGUUAAGGAAUAGCGUUGUUGUUGAAGAGAUAUGAGAUUUGAAAAGGCUUUUUAAUGUACAUCCAACAAUUUCAGUAGAGAAAACUUGCUUGAAUAUUCAAUUGACAUUUGUUAUUUAAUUUUUACUAACAUAUACUUAUAAUAACAGCUGUACAUAAACAUAAAUAACAAAGUUUAAAGCAUAUACUCAAAAACAACAACCAAUAAAAUAAGCAUAAACUAAUGAGUGUAAAAAAUAUACCAGGAUAUGUAACAUUGAAAUAAAACAUAAUGAUACAAAUCGAGCCCAUUGUGUGCACAUUGUAAUUCUCUAUUUAUAGACAACAAAUGCUACUUGUAAAAAAAUGAUUAAUGUGUCUUAUCGGAAAUGACACAAUUCUUUAGAAAGUUAAAACCUUUCAGAAAGGGAACAAUAUUUCGUAAAAGUCGCAACUUUUCAUGAUAAAAGUUUCAACAUUUCAUAAAAGUCACAACUUUUCAUGAAAGAGGAAACCUAGUAUUGGAAAUAAAAUAAAUUAAAGAGAAUCCUUGCUUGUGGUGUCGCCACAUAGACAGUCCUAAGGUUCUCUUUAAUAUAAAUAUAUGAUACUUUAUUAUAUGUAGUAUUUUAAUCAAAUAACAAUUCCUAAACUCUUUUCAAAGUUAUUUAAAAGUUAGUCUUUUAUUCCAAAUUAUUUCAAUUGUAGUCACUCCAAUUUAUUCAAAUCCUAGUCCUUCAUCUCUUAUGAAAUCAAUGGUUGAGAUUAAAUUCUUCUUUUCCCUAUUUAUAAACUAUCAAAAAAUCUAAACCUAAACCCUAGUCUUCUUAUUCUCUCCUCCUCCCUGCCUUCCCCUUCGCUCUUCUCUUCCUCUUCUCCUCUCCAGCGAGCUGCCAUGCAGCUCCGACCAGCGGCGACUAGUGAGAGAGGGAAGCGAAACUCCGGCGAGAUGUGCCAGGUGGCGCCACCCCUUCCCCCUUUUCUCCUUCCCUCUCAGAUCUCUCCUCCCUCCUCUUCUCCUUGUUCUUUUUUUUCUCUCUCUUUGCAGGACCACCAGGCAGCAGGCUGCGGCGAAGAACAGCGACCAGCAGCAAUGAGCCAACGCCAGCAACAGCAACCAGAUGCUGCCUCAUCUCAAUCUCAGGCGAGCAUCUACGAAAGCCAGCUCCGACCAGUAGCAAUUCGACGAUUCUCCUCUUUUGCGACGAGGACGGACAACAUACUCCGUCGAGCAUUUCGACGUUUUGAGACAGAUUUUAACAAAUUCUUCCAGGAGUCUUCUGUUGUUCUCAGACGAGCGAGGGAGAAACGGUCAGUCUCCAUGCUUCACCAAGUAAGCAUCGCAAACCACACAUGUUGGAUUGAUGUCCUUGAGCCGAAGGUCUUUCGUACACAAUCUCUUAAUUUUCAUGAAAUAGUGACAAUGAUGGUGAUCUUACAGCAGCAGAGUUGAAAAAUCUUGAGGCUAAAUAUCGUCAAGAUGCAAAAUCCUUGAACAAAAUCCAAAUGGGAGACUCAAGAGCAUAUCUUGCAAAAAUAGCUAAUUGUGAGACUGCAAAAGGAAUCUUGGGAUUCUCUUGAAACUGAGGUGUAUGGUGACAAAAAGAAAAGUAUGAGUACAUUAUUGCUAUCAUUGAGGAGACGAAAGAUCUUUCUAAGCUUUCCAUCAAAGAGCUAGUUGGAUCAUUUAGUGCAUAUGAGAAGCGAAGAUUUUUUCGUGAAGAUCAACCCAAAGAGACGACUUUCAGUAUAAAAAAAAUGAGAAUUCUCAAAAUUUCUCAAAAAAUCAACAAAAGAAGAACUACAAGCCAAAAAAGAAGCAAAAUCAUGAUGGUUCUUCCCAAAAGGUUGAAGAAAAAGGUGAAAAAAACUCUAGUUUAUUUGUAAAGUUGACUAAUCACAAUGCAGAAAAAUGUUGGCACAAAGGCAAACCCCAAUGUAAAAUUUGUAAAAACUUUGGCCAUGUUGAAAAGGAUUGCUAGCACAAGA